RNAcentral lists this ribosomal RNA (497 nucleotides) under uncultured bacterium. RNAcentral describes it as "partial 16S ribosomal RNA". It matches the Rfam family "Bacterial small subunit ribosomal RNA", at positions 28 to 507 of the family's 1533-position model. The record is from RNAcentral.
GAUGAACGCUGGCGGCGUGCCUAAUACAUGCAAGUCGAGCGAACAGACGAGGAGCUUGCUCCUCUGACGUUAGCGGCGGACGGGUGAGUAACACGUGGAUAACCUACCUAUAAGACUGGGAUAACUUCGGGAAACCGGAGCUAAUACCGGAUAAUAUAUUGAACCGCAGGGUUCAAUAGUGAAAGACGGUUUUGCUGUCACUUAUAGAUGGAUCCGCGCCGCAUUGGCUAGUUGGUAAGGUAACGGGUUACCAAGGCAACGAUGCGUAGCCGACCUGCGAGGGUGAUCGGCGACACUGGAACGGGGACAGGGACAAGACUCCUGCGGGAGGCAGCAGUAGGGAAUCUUCCGCAAUGGGCGAAAGCCUGACGGAGCAACGCCGCGUGAGUGAUGAAGGUCUUCGGAUCGUAAAACUCUGUUAUUAGGGAAGAACAAAUGUGUAAGUAACUAUGCACGUCUUGACGGUACCUAAUCAGAAAGCCACGGCUAACUACGUG